GGAAAAAGAGGAGUGGCGAACGGGUGAGUAACACGUGGGUAACCUGCCCAUCAGAAGGGGAUAACACUUGGAAACAGGUGCUAAUACCGUAUAACAAUCAAAACCGCAUGGUUUUGAUUUGAAAGGCGCUUUCGGGUGUCGCUGAUGGAUGGACCCGCGGUGCAUUAGCUAGUUGGUGAGGUAACGGCUCACCAAGGCCACGAUGCAUAGCCGACCUGAGAGGGUGAUCGGCCACAUUGGGACUGAGACACGGCCCAAACUCCUACGGGAGGCAGCAGUAGGGAAUCUUCGGCAAUGGACGAAAGUCUGACCGAGCAACGCCGCGUGAGUGAAGAAGGUUUUCGGAUCGUAAAACUCUGUUGUUAGAGAAGAACAAGGAUGAGAGUAACUGUUCAUCCCUUGACGGUAUCUAACCAGAAAGCCACGGCUAACUACGUGCCAGCAGCCGCGGUAAUACGUAGGUGGCAAGCGUUGUCCGGAUUUAUUGGGCGUAAAGCGAGCGCAGGCGGUUUCUUAAGUCUGAUGUGAAAGCCCCCGGCUC
Molecule: ribosomal RNA, 541 nt
Filed under: Enterococcus faecium
Lineage: Bacteria; Bacillati; Bacillota; Bacilli; Lactobacillales; Enterococcaceae
Description: bacterial SSU rRNA
Rfam family: Bacterial small subunit ribosomal RNA
Source: RNAcentral